GGGGAUGUAGCUUAGUGGUAGAGCACUUGCCUAAUAUGUACUAGGGCCUAGGUUCAAUUCCCAUCACCA
This 69-nucleotide transfer RNA is filed under the name Heterocephalus glaber (naked mole-rat). It matches the Rfam family "tRNA". From Rfam's summary of the family: Transfer RNA (tRNA) molecules are approximately 80 nucleotides in length. Their secondary structure includes four short double-helical elements and three loops (D, anti-codon, and T loops). Further hydrogen bonds mediate the characteristic L-shaped molecular structure. tRNAs have two regions of fundamental functional importance: the anti-codon, which is responsible for specific mRNA codon recognition, and the 3' end, to which the tRNAs corresponding amino acid is attached (by aminoacyl-tRNA synthetases). tRNAs cope with the degeneracy of the genetic code in two manners: having more than one tRNA (with a specific anti-codon) for a particular amino acid; and 'wobble' base-pairing, i.e. permitting non-standard base-pairing at the 3rd anti-codon position. The record is from Rfam by way of RNAcentral. Lineage: Eukaryota; Metazoa; Chordata; Mammalia; Rodentia; Bathyergidae.